This 322-nucleotide ribosomal RNA is filed under the name uncultured eukaryote. RNAcentral describes it as "partial 18S ribosomal RNA". It matches the Rfam family "Eukaryotic small subunit ribosomal RNA", at positions 1470 to 1796 of the family's 1831-position model. The record is from RNAcentral.
CCCUUAGAUGUUCUGGGCCGCACGCGUGCUACACUGAGUGGAUCAGCGGGUCAGGUUGCGCGAAAGCGUUUCCUAAUCUUUAAAUCCGCUCGUGAUGGGGAUUGACGGUUGCAAUUUUCUGUCAUGAACGAGGAAUACCUUGUAAGCGCGGGUCAUCAUCCCGCGCUGAAUACGUCCCUGCCCUUUGUACACACCGCCCGGCGCUCCUACCGAUUGAGUGGUCCGGUGAGGCUUUGGGAUCUGAGCGGAAAGAGCGUUUCGCUGUUUCUGCUCGGAAAACUCAGUCGAACCUUAUCAUUUAGAGGAAGGAGAAGUCGUAACA